This 658-nucleotide ribosomal RNA is filed under the name uncultured fungus. RNAcentral describes it as "eukaryotic LSU rRNA". The stretch from base 224 to 375 matches the Rfam family "5.8S ribosomal RNA". The record is from RNAcentral. Lineage: Eukaryota; Fungi.
UCCGUAGGUGAACCUGCGGAGGGAUCAUUACACAAUAAGAAGGCGGGCUGGAUACCCCCAGCGGUGCAUCGCUUCACGGCGUGCGCAGCUGGGCCGGCCUUGCUGAAUUAUUCACCCGUGUCUUUUGCGUACUUGUUGUUUCCUGGGUGGGCUCGCCCGCCCUCAGGACAAACCAUAAACCUUUUGUAAUAGCAAUCAGCGUCAGUAACAACAUAAUAAUUACAACUUUCAACAACGGAUCUCUUGGUUCUGGCAUCGAUGAAGAACGCAGCGAAGUGCGAUAAGCAAUGCGAAUUGCAGAACCGUGAGUCAUCAGAUUUUUGAACGCAACUGGCGCCGAUUGGAACUCCAGCCGGCAUGCUUGUUUCAGUGUCUCUUUUUCUCAUCACCCAAAUCUUAAUGCGAGAGAUACCCUUCUCUUGUCAAGUACGAAAGCACUCUGAGCCCUGCGAGUGGCUUGGCUUCGGUCAAGGCCACACUCAAUGCAGCAGUCACAUUUCACAAUGUGAACUCAUUGAGAGUAGAGUCAGCGCAGUUUACUGCUAGUGGCUUAGAGGCCUUUAAACUCUUCUUGGUAUCUGGAAAUCAAGGCAGGGACCACCCGCUGAACUUAAGGCAUAUCAAUAAGGCGGGGAGGGGAAGGGUCGGACUGGGCCAA